CACAGGGCAGGGUGGUGGCCAACAGCCACCCGGGGUGACCCGCGGGACAGUGCCACAGAAAACAAACCGCCAACUGCUUCGGCAGUCGGUAAGGGUGAAACGGUGGUGUAAGAGACCACCAGCGCGCCAGGUGACUGGAGCGGCUCGGUAAACCCCACCCGGAGCAAGCCCAGACAGCGCACGUUCGAGACCGGCCCGGUCGAGUGCGCGGGUAGGGCGCUGGAGCCGGUCAGCAAUGGCCGGCCGAGAUGGAUGGCCGUCGCCGCGUCACCGGCAACGGAGAUGCGGA
Molecule: unclassified non-coding RNA, 289 nt
Filed under: Intrasporangium calvum
Lineage: Bacteria; Bacillati; Actinomycetota; Actinomycetes; Micrococcales; Intrasporangiaceae
Description: partial ribonuclease P RNA
Rfam family: Bacterial RNase P class A
About the family: Ribonuclease P (RNase P) is a ubiquitous endoribonuclease, found in archaea, bacteria and eukarya as well as chloroplasts and mitochondria.
Source: RNAcentral